ACGCACUAAAAAUAUAUGAGCAAAGAGUAAAAUUUUAAUAAUUUUUUACUCUCUGUCUGUAAUCUUUCACAACCUUUUACCAAAGCCACCCACAACUGUAGAAACUGGAAGAGACUUACUACAACAUUACAUCUGGAGCCAGACUGAAAGAAAAGCCGGCCUGUAGUUACGUUGAGUACAGAAGAAGUAUAGGAGAAGAAGAUGUGCAAGGAGAUGACUAUCGUAU
RNAcentral lists this unclassified non-coding RNA (226 nucleotides) under Limulus polyphemus (Atlantic horseshoe crab). RNAcentral describes it as "alpha-(1,3)-fucosyltransferase C-like, transcript variant X3". The record is from RNAcentral. Lineage: Eukaryota; Metazoa; Arthropoda; Merostomata; Xiphosura; Limulidae.